This 440-nucleotide ribosomal RNA is filed under the name uncultured bacterium. RNAcentral describes it as "partial 16S ribosomal RNA". It matches the Rfam family "Bacterial small subunit ribosomal RNA", at positions 338 to 795 of the family's 1533-position model. The record is from RNAcentral.
CCUACGGGUGGCAGCAGUAGGGAAUAUUGCUCAAUGGGGGAAACCCUGAAGCAGCAACGCCGCGUGGAGGAAGAAGGUUCUCGGAUUGUAAACUCCUUUUGUUAGAGAAGAUAAUGACGGUAUCUAACGAAUAAGCACCGGCUAACUCCGUGCCAGCAGCCGCGGUAAUACGGAGGGUGCAAGCGUUACUCGGAAUAACUGGGCGUAAAGGGCGCGUAGGCGGGAUAGCAAGUCAGAGGUGAAAGCCUUAGGCUUAACCACAGAACUGCAUUUGAAACUGUUAUUCUAGAGUAUGGGAGCGGUAGGCGGAAUUCUUGGUGUAGGGGUAAAAUGCGUAGAGAUCAAGAGGAACACUCAUUGCGAAGGCGACCUGCUAGAACAUAACUGACGCUGAGGCGCGAAAGCGUGGGGAGCAAACAGGAUUAGAUACCCCUGUAGUC